Triticum urartu is the source of this 2488-nucleotide non-coding RNA. Lineage: Eukaryota; Viridiplantae; Streptophyta; Magnoliopsida; Poales; Poaceae. The record is from RefSeq and is a predicted model, not a curated record.
GCGACCAAUGUUUUUUUCUAAAUCACACAUUUCACACUGCCCCCAGCCCCCACAGCCCGUCUCCACUCUCCAAGAUCCCAACCCAAUCCGUAGACGGCGAACAUGGGCCGCCGCCGCCGCCAGCCCUCCUCGCCGUCGCCGGCGGCAGAGCAUCCGCUGGAAGACGACGACCUACUGCGCGAGAUCCUCCUCCGCCUACCCCCACAGCCGCCCUACCUCCUGCGCGCCUCCCUCGUCGCCAAGCGCUGGCGACACAUCGCCAUCGACCCCAAGUUCCUCCACCGCUUCCGCACCGACCACGGGAAGCCUCCCCUCCUUGGGGACUUCUCCCUACAAAUCAACGGAAAACUCUCGUUCAGAUCCACCCUGGACCUGCCCUACCGCAUCCCUCCCGACCACUUCUCCCUACAAGUCAACGGCCGCGAGCCAUGGAGGUUGGUCGACUGCCGCCACGGACGCGUGCUCCUCAUCAACAGCGAGAUGCGUCAGGUCAUUGUGUGGGACCCCUUGACUGGCGACCGCUCCCUCUUGUCCGCUCCGCCGGCGUUUGACGACAUGCACACUGCGGCGGUGCUCUGCGCUGCCGGCGAGCAGGGCCACGCUCAUGGUGCCUGCCACUCGAGCCCAUUUAAAGUGGUCGUGGUAGACAGCUGCGAGCACGGGGAUGAAACCGUCGUCUUCGUGAGUGUUUACUCAUCAGAGACUGGCGUAUGGAGUGAUCUCCUCUCAACACCGCUUGCAUCUAUGGGUAUUGCUGUUGGUAAUCGCAGCACACUUGUUGGUAACACCUUUCACUGGUUGCUUCUGAUGAGUAACAACAUACUUGAGUUUGAUUUGGAUAGACAGACGCUAGCUGUGAUCAAUAGGCCACCUGGUGUUCGUUCGGAUGACAGUGCUUGGAUCAUCCAGGCAGAUGAUGGCGGUGUUGGCUUCUCUGCUUUGUCGUGCGCCCACUGCCAGUAUGUCUACUGCUACCACCAACCCUGUUUCCAAAUGUGGGAUAGGAAGGCCAAUUACUAUGGUGUUGCCGUAUGGGUGUUGAGGAAAUCCAUUGGACUGCAGAAGCUACUUGGGUUGGGGUUUAAGAUUGAGAGGAACUGGUCACAUAUAGUGCGUUAUGCUGAGCAUGUUCAUGCUUUAUUUUUAUGGGUGCACUCAUCUCUCUUCAUCGUUCAGCUUGAGUCAAUGCAGCCCAAGGAGCUUUUUAAAAGUGAUCCUAUGUACACCUAUUAUCCUUUCACAAGUUUCUAUGAUGAAGGUAACUGUUGGGAUUCAAUUUAUUUUCCAUAUAUGUUUGAUGAAAUAACUUUACUGACUCUACUUCUGAAGUGUUCGAAAUCUCCCAGUGAACUUAUAGCCAUGUUCUUUUCUAUGUUAGCGACUUGAGCAUUAGCUCUCUGCGAAACUACCAUGGUAGUGUACUGUUGUUCUUUUAUACCGCUACAUGUGAAUUGCCGAGUCAGGAAACAAGGCAUCUUAUAGGAGAUGGAAUGAUACUUCUGUCGUUAGUUUCUUGUACAACAUUUUUGUUAUUAGCUGGACCCUGCAAUUUUAUAUGUCUGAUUUCCUUGAUGCUUUGGUUUUCUUUUCCUGUACUUGUGUACAGUACAAUCACGUCAUAUCUGGCUAUAAAAGAGAGAAAUUAGUUAGAUAAUAUAGGACCAAUUGAUUUCUGCACCGGCUUGAGGCCUUUCUCACUUGCUAAAGUAGCAUUUACAUUUGAACUCUAUUAACUCUAUAGUUUCCUUGUUUGACAGAUCAAUUCACUUUGACAUUACCAAUGUUAUUUUUGUGUGGCCAUGAAUUCUGUGGUUGCCUCCAGAUUUAAUAAACUACUCAAUGCCUAAUAGAUGUAAAAUGGUGAUGAUCAUACUGGGGAGUUUCAGUCAGCAAUAAUACAAGAAAAGUUGCUUUUGUCCUCCACGUAAUUAUUCUAUGGUAGAUUGGUAGUUUCUAUGUGUAUACAACUACAUUACUGAUCUUAUAGCAUUCUUAGGUUGAAGCAUGAUAUGUCCAAUUUGUAAUGGGCAACAUGAUACACUGAAUACUUAGGUUGAAGCAUGAUAUGGCCAAUUUGUAACCUGACUAGUCCAUUCAAGCUUAAAACGAGUCACACGGUUGCAUCUAAAGAAUCUACGUUGUUUUCAAGAUAGUUUUGUAUUUCAGGUAUCAGUGGUUUGAAGCAGAAGUAGUUUACUGGUGUACUGCAACAUGGAAUGCCGACUCUUGCGGAGUGACUAUGACCAUCUAUGGUACUCCCUCGUGUAAAAAACACUCUUAUAUUAUGGGAUGGAGGGAGUAGUUGUCAGCUUGCUUAACUUGUAGUAGAAACUAUCUAGUGCUGGUGUGUUAUUUUCAGCUAUCCUAUAUGCAGUCGUCAAAUGAACUCUGAAAUGCCUAGAUCUAUUCGGCAGUGUUGAGUAUUGAUUUUUUCAGUAGAUUGGAAUCUCUUCCAGUUUGAUAUGCAAAUAUUUUGGUUUGAGCCUCA